CACGUAGGCUGUAUAGUAAGCAAUUGGUGAAAUCCCUCGGCUCAACCGAGGAACGGCUAUUUGUACUGCUAUACUUGAGGGUGGAAGAGGAGAGUGGAAUUCCUGGUGGAGCGGUGAAAUGCGUAGAUAUCAGGAGGAACGCCUGUGGCGAAAGCGACUCUCUGGUCCAUUCCUGACGCUGAGGUGCGAAAGCCAGGGGUGCGAACAGGAUUAGAUACCCUGGUAGUCC
This 229-nucleotide ribosomal RNA is filed under the name uncultured bacterium. Its description in RNAcentral is "partial 16S ribosomal RNA". It matches the Rfam family "Bacterial small subunit ribosomal RNA", at positions 568 to 796 of the family's 1533-position model. The record is from RNAcentral.